AGCAGCCGCGGUAAUUCCAGCUCCAAUAGCGUAUAUUAAAGUUGUUGCAGUUAAAAAGCUCGUAGUUGAAUUUCGGGAUCAGUAUGUUGGUCGUGCUUCGGUACGUACUGUCAUUACUGGUUUCUACCUUCUGAAGAACCUUGAUGUCAUUAAUUUGGUGUCUUGGGGAAUCAGGACUGUUACUUUGAAAAAAUUAGAGUGUUUAAAGCAAGCAUACGCUUGAAUACAUUAGCAUGGAAUAAUGAAAUAGGACGUUUGAUUCUAUUUUGUUGGUUUCUAGGAUCGACGUAAUGAUUAAUAGGGAUAGUUGGGGGCAUUAGUAUUCAAUUGUCAGAGGUGAAAUUCUUGGAUUUAUUGAAGACUAACUACUGCGAAAGCAUUUGCCAAGGAUGUUUUCAUUAAUCAAGAACGAAAGUUAGGGGAUCGAAGACGAUCAGAUACCGUCGUAGUCUUAACCAUAAACUAUGCCGACUAGGGAUCGGAUGAUGUUAUUUUUAAUGACUCAUUCGGCGCCUUACGG
Molecule: small RNA, 520 nt
Filed under: uncultured Glomus
Lineage: Eukaryota; Fungi; Glomeromycota; Glomeromycetes; Glomerales; Glomeraceae
Description: SSU rRNA
Rfam family: Eukaryotic small subunit ribosomal RNA
Source: RNAcentral